AUUCUAUGCUUCUAUGAAUUUCACCUAGCUUUUGACAUCUGCAGUGUAGACAUUCACAGUUUUAACAUCCAUGUCUUCUGUCCCUCUAGGCUGUGGGUGGGGAAAGACAGACACUGCCAGGGCCCAGCACAACUCCCCUUCAGCACACACCUGAAUAGACUGGAGGAAUUGUAUGCCAUGAGUGCCUUUUUCCAUCAGUAAAGUACACAGACUAAACACAAGGAGCAGAACAUUCCUGCUACAAUCCUGCCUCCUGCCUCCAAGCCACCCCAACACAUGCCAGGCAAUUAUCACAUCCCAUUUCUGGAAGUUCCAGAAGCUUUCAGAAUUAUCCAGGUGUGCAAUCAGCUUGUGUAUAAGGAUAUACAUUCCAGAUAAUGCUCACCACUUCAAUCACUACUUUUUUUGUCUGUCUUUCUUUUCACUCAGGAAAGUCAUGUGCUACAAAAGAUGUAGGCUAUGGGCAUACAGUGACAG
RNAcentral lists this long non-coding RNA (477 nucleotides) under Numida meleagris (helmeted guineafowl). Its description in RNAcentral is "lncRNA (ENSNMEG00000005514.1)". The record is from RNAcentral. Lineage: Eukaryota; Metazoa; Chordata; Aves; Galliformes; Numididae.